GUCUCUGCGAAGCCGUAAGGCGAAGUAUAGGGGCUGACGCCUGCCCGGUGCUGGAAGGUUAAGAGGAGCGCUUAGCGUAAGCGAAGGUGCGAAUUGAAGCCCCAGUAAACGGCGGCCGUAACUAUAACGGUCCUAAGGUAGCGAAAUUCCUUGUCGGGUAAGUUCCGACCCGCACGAAAGGCGCAACGAUCUGGGCACUGUCUCAACGAGAGACUCGGUGAA
RNAcentral lists this ribosomal RNA (222 nucleotides) under Bacillus licheniformis. RNAcentral's name for it is "partial 23S ribosomal RNA". It matches the Rfam family "Bacterial large subunit ribosomal RNA", at positions 1819 to 2040 of the family's 2925-position model. Lineage: Bacteria; Bacillati; Bacillota; Bacilli; Caryophanales; Bacillaceae. The record is from RNAcentral.